AGGGGGGUAGAAUUGCAGGUGUAGCGGUGAAAUGCGUAGAGAUCUGGAGGAAUACCGGUGGAGAAGGCGGCCCCGUGGACAAAGACUGACGCUCAGGUGCGAAAGUGUGGGGAGCAAACAGGAUUAGAUACCCUGGUAGUCCACGCCGUAAACGAUGUCGACUUGGAGGUUGCGCCCUUGAGGCGUGGCUUCCGGAGCUAACGCGUUAAGUCGACCGCCUGGGGAGUACGGCCGCAAGGUUAAAACUCAAAUGAAUUGACGGGGGCCCGCACAAGCGGUGGAGCAUGUGGUUUAAUUCGAUGCAACGCGAAGAACCUUACCUGGCCUUGACAUCCAGAGAACUUAGCAGAGAUGCUUUGGUGCCUUCGGGAACUCUGAGACAGGUGCUGCAUGGCGGUCGUCAGCUCGUGUUGUGAAAUGUUGGGUUAAGUCCCGCAACGAGCGCAACCCUUAUCCUUUGUUGCCAGCGAUUCGGUCGGGAACUCAAAGGAGACUGCCGGUGAUAAACCGGAGGAAGGUGGGGAUGACGUCAAGUCAUCAUGGCCCUUACGGCCAGGGCUACACACGUGCUACAAUGGCGCAUACAAAGAGAAGCGACCUCGCGAGAGCAAGCGGACCUCAUAAAGUGCGUCGUAGUCCGGAUCGGAGUCUGCAACUCGACUCCGUGAAGUCGGAAUCGCUAGUAAUCGUAGAUCAGAAUGCUACGGUGAAUACGUUCCCGGGCCUUGUACA
This 732-nucleotide ribosomal RNA is filed under the name Pantoea cypripedii. RNAcentral's name for it is "bacterial SSU rRNA". It matches the Rfam family "Bacterial small subunit ribosomal RNA", at positions 655 to 1387 of the family's 1533-position model. Lineage: Bacteria; Pseudomonadati; Pseudomonadota; Gammaproteobacteria; Enterobacterales; Erwiniaceae. The record is from RNAcentral.